RNAcentral lists this ribosomal RNA (1523 nucleotides) under Salmonella enterica subsp. enterica serovar Anatum. RNAcentral's name for it is "bacterial SSU rRNA". It matches the Rfam family "Bacterial small subunit ribosomal RNA". Lineage: Bacteria; Pseudomonadati; Pseudomonadota; Gammaproteobacteria; Enterobacterales; Enterobacteriaceae. The record is from RNAcentral.
AAUUGAAGAGUUUGAUCAUGGCUCAGAUUGAACGCUGGCGGCAGGCCUAACACAUGCAAGUCGAACGGUAACAGGAAGCAGCUUGCUGCUUCGCUGACGAGUGGCGGACGGGUGAGUAAUGUCUGGGAAACUGCCUGAUGGAGGGGGAUAACUACUGGAAACGGUGGCUAAUACCGCAUAACGUCGCAAGACCAAAGAGGGGGACCUUCGGGCCUCUUGCCAUCAGAUGUGCCCAGAUGGGAUUAGCUUGUUGGUGAGGUAACGGCUCACCAAGGCGACGAUCCCUAGCUGGUCUGAGAGGAUGACCAGCCACACUGGAACUGAGACACGGUCCAGACUCCUACGGGAGGCAGCAGUGGGGAAUAUUGCACAAUGGGCGCAAGCCUGAUGCAGCCAUGCCGCGUGUAUGAAGAAGGCCUUCGGGUUGUAAAGUACUUUCAGCGGGGAGGAAGGUGUUGUGGUUAAUAACCGCAGCAAUUGACGUUACCCGCAGAAGAAGCACCGGCUAACUCCGUGCCAGCAGCCGCGGUAAUACGGAGGGUGCAAGCGUUAAUCGGAAUUACUGGGCGUAAAGCGCACGCAGGCGGUCUGUCAAGUCGGAUGUGAAAUCCCCGGGCUCAACCUGGGAACUGCAUUCGAAACUGGCAGGCUUGAGUCUUGUAGAGGGGGGUAGAAUUCCAGGUGUAGCGGUGAAAUGCGUAGAGAUCUGGAGGAAUACCGGUGGCGAAGGCGGCCCCCUGGACAAAGACUGACGCUCAGGUGCGAAAGCGUGGGGAGCAAACAGGAUUAGAUACCCUGGUAGUCCACGCCGUAAACGAUGUCUACUUGGAGGUUGUGCCCUUGAGGCGUGGCUUCCGGAGCUAACGCGUUAAGUAGACCGCCUGGGGAGUACGGCCGCAAGGUUAAAACUCAAAUGAAUUGACGGGGGCCCGCACAAGCGGUGGAGCAUGUGGUUUAAUUCGAUGCAACGCGAAGAACCUUACCUGGUCUUGACAUCCACGGAAGUUUUCAGAGAUGAGAAUGUGCCUUCGGGAACCGUGAGACAGGUGCUGCAUGGCUGUCGUCAGCUCGUGUUGUGAAAUGUUGGGUUAAGUCCCGCAACGAGCGCAACCCUUAUCCUUUGUUGCCAGCGGUCCGGCCGGGAACUCAAAGGAGACUGCCAGUGAUAAACUGGAGGAAGGUGGGGAUGACGUCAAGUCAUCAUGGCCCUUACGACCAGGGCUACACACGUGCUACAAUGGCGCAUACAAAGAGAAGCGACCUCGCGAGAGCAAGCGGACCUCAUAAAGUGCGUCGUAGUCCGGAUUGGAGUCUGCAACUCGACUCCAUGAAGUCGGAAUCGCUAGUAAUCGUGGAUCAGAAUGCCACGGUGAAUACGUUCCCGGGCCUUGUACACACCGCCCGUCACACCAUGGGAGUGGGUUGCAAAAGAAGUAGGUAGCUUAACCUUCGGGAGGGCGCUUACCACUUUGUGAUUCAUGACUGGGGUGAAGUCGUAACAAGGUAACCGUAGGGGAACCUGC